Molecule: ribosomal RNA, 253 nt
Filed under: uncultured bacterium
Lineage: Bacteria
Description: partial 16S ribosomal RNA
Rfam family: Bacterial small subunit ribosomal RNA
Source: RNAcentral
UACGUAGGGCGCAAGCGUUAUCCGGAAUUAUUGGGCGUAAAGAGCUCGUAGGCGGUUUGUCGCGUCUGCCGUGAAAGUCCGGGGCUCAACUCCGGAUCUGCGGUGGGUACGGGCAGACUAGAGUGAUGUAGGGGAGACUGGAAUUCCUGGUGUAGCGGUGAAAUGCGCAGAUAUCAGGAGGAACACCCGUGGCGAAAGCGGCUCUCUGGGACGGUACUGACGCUGAGACGCGAAAGCGUGGGGAGCGAACAGG